Molecule: ribosomal RNA, 309 nt
Filed under: uncultured archaeon
Lineage: Archaea
Description: bacterial SSU rRNA
Rfam family: Archaeal small subunit ribosomal RNA
Source: RNAcentral
UGGCCGAGAGGGUCCGUCGGGAAAUCUGCUCGCUCAACGAGCAGGCGUCCGGCGGAAACCAAUCGGCUUGGGACCGGAAGACCUGAGGGGUACGUCUGGGGUAGGAGUGAAAUCCCGUAAUCCUGGACGGACCACCGGUGGCGAAAGCGCCUCAGGAAGACGGAUCCGACAGUGAGGGACGAAAGCUGGGGUCACGAACCGGAUUAGAUACCCGGGUAGUCCCAGCUGUAAACGAUGCUCACUAGGUGUGGCACUGGCUACGAGCCAGUGCUGUGCCGUAGGGAAGCCGUGAAGUGAGCCGCCUGGGAA